AAGUCGUAACAAGGUCUCCGUAGGUGAACCUGCGGAGGGAUCAUUACAAGGACGCCCGGGCUUCGGCCUGGUUAUUCAUAACCCUUUGUUGUCCGACUCUGUUGCCUCCGGGGCGACCCUGCCUUCGGGCGGGGGCUCCGGGUGGACACUUCAAACUCUCGCGUAACUUUGCAGUCUGAGUAAACUUAAUUAAUAAAUUAAAACUUUUAACAACGGAUCUCUUGGUUCUGGCAUCGAUGAAGAACGCAGCGAAAUGCGAUAAGUAAUGUGAAUUGCAGAAUUCAGUGAAUCAUCGAAUCUUUGAACGCACAUUGCGCCCCCUGGUAUUCCGGGGGGCAUGCCUGUUCGAGCGUCAUUUCACCACUCAAGCCUCGCUUGGUAUUGGGCAACGCGGUCCGCCGCGUGCCUCAAAUCGUCCGGCUGGGUCUUCUGUCCCCUAAGCGUUGUGGAAACUAUUCGCUAAAGGGUGUUCGGGAGGCUACGCCGUAAAACAACCCCAUUUCUAAGGUUGACCUCGGAUCAGGUAGGGAUACCCGCUGAACUUAA
Molecule: ribosomal RNA, 546 nt
Filed under: uncultured fungus
Lineage: Eukaryota; Fungi
Description: eukaryotic LSU rRNA
Rfam family: 5.8S ribosomal RNA (bases 202-355)
Source: RNAcentral